Long non-coding RNA from Poecilia reticulata (guppy), 1511 nucleotides. RefSeq lists it as uncharacterized. The record is from RefSeq and is a predicted model, not a curated record. Lineage: Eukaryota; Metazoa; Chordata; Actinopteri; Cyprinodontiformes; Poeciliidae.
UUUACUCUAACACCCGUGAAUAAAAGUCACAUUUUGUACACAAUGUGAAGAUGAAGGCAAAAGCAGAAUUGGGUUAAUAACUUGACCCUUAUUUUAAAGAGUGAAAGGAAAAAGUAGGGCACUAUUGUUCGUCUAGUGUGCUUGUUAACUGACAGACAAAUUAUUGAUCAAAAAGGCAGUCAAUGAUAAAACACUGGAUAAGAUUCAGAGAUCCACAGAAUCUGUCAGAAGAGUCCUGACUGUAAAACAUGGUGGUGGCGGCAUCGUGCUGUGGGGAGGCUGUUCUUCCUCAGGGACAGUGAGAGCUGAAGGGGAAACAGAUGGAGUCGAGCACAAAAUCGUCUGUGCAGACUCGACACUGUGGCUAAUAUUCACCUUCCAGCAGCACAAACGUCUUAAAUACAGCCAAAGCUGCCGGUUUGGAUUUUAAAAAAAAAAUGAAUCCGUUAGAAGGGACCAGUCAAAUCCUGGUCGAGAUCCAAUUUAAGACUCAUUGGCAAUCUUUCAAAAAAAAAAAGUAUGUUUACAGACACUUUUCAUCCAAAAUGACGCCGCGUUGCAGAGGAGACAGGGCAUUAAUGUCGGCCUCUAAAAGCCGGUGUACCCCCAGAAGACUUGCAGCUGUAAUUACAGUGAAAAGCGGUUCCAGUAGCAAUCAAAGCCCCACGAGCACAAACACUGUUCCUGAAAAGCAUCCAUUUGUGAAGCAAUUCUGUAGGACACCAGCCACAUAAAGAAGAGAUUUAUAUCACUAAACUCCGAUCAGUAGCCGCAUUUAAUCUAGUUUCAAAUUGUAUUGAUAUUUGUUGAUGCUCUCAUUGAAGACAGUGAGAACAAACCCGACAAAAACUGCAGUGUGAGUUUAAAAAGGAAAAAAAAAAAGAAACAGAAUCGGAAUCUAUAGUGACAACGAUAAAUCAAAAAAAAAAUCAAAAAUCUUAUCACGAUAAAACGACAUUUCCGUAGCUGCAUUCAGCGAUCGCCACGUAAAGAAUUCAGCAAGUUGUAGUCACUUAAAGCCAAGUCCCUCGCAGUUAUUAUGCAUCACUUUUGCAUAUCUCCCAGCUAAUACAGCUGCGUGAUUGUGUUUGCCAUUAGCGGGCUGCGUCACCGUCCCCCUUAUUGGUUUGAAAUUCCAUUAAACAUAUUGCUCCAGCUCCCAGGUUUAAGCUUGAUUUAAAUUUGCAUACAUUUUCAUACAUUUAGAAGAAAUAAAAAGAAGGCUGCAGCAGCCACCAGAAAGUCAUUAGAAGAGCGGAGAGAGGCACAAGCUGCGCUGACGGAGAACCGAGGCUGAGACGGUGGGGGGAGAGAGAGAGAGAGAGAGAAGAGGCCGGAGCAGGUGCUGCUGGCAGCAGAGGCUGGUGCCGUUACAGGGUCACAGAAAGGAGCCAUGUUGGUUUUAGCAAAAAAAAAAAAAGGGACAUAAAAGUUUACCAUCUGUUAAACUUCAAACUGUCCACACAAACACAGAGCAUCCUGCACAGAGAUCACUGAAGAGGAAAAAAAAA